GACGAACGCUGGCGGCGUGCUUAACACAUGCAAGUCGAACGGACAGGCCCUGCUUUUGUGGCGUUCUCGUUUGGCGAACGCGUGUGUAACACGUGUGUAACCUCCCCUUAACUUUGUGAUAUCUUUUGGAAACUGGGGCUAAUACCGCAUAUGAUCUCCUGCUCCAUGUUGGUGGUUGGAAAGUUUCGGCGGUUGUGGAUCUACUCGCGGGUUAUCGGCUUGUUUGUGUGGUAGUGGCUUACCAAGGCUUUGACGGAUAGCCGGCCUGAGAGGGUGACCGGCGACAUUGGGACUGAGAUACGGACCAGACGCCUACGGGAGGCAGCAGUGGGGAGUAUUGCAGAAUGGGCGGAAGCCUGAUGCAGCAACGCCGCGUGCGGGAUGACGGCCUUCGAGUUGUGAACAGAUUUCGAAUGUGACGAAGAGUGAGUGACGGUAAUGGGUAAAGAAGCACCGGCUAACUACGUG
Molecule: ribosomal RNA, 468 nt
Filed under: uncultured bacterium
Lineage: Bacteria
Description: partial 16S ribosomal RNA
Rfam family: Bacterial small subunit ribosomal RNA
Source: RNAcentral